ACCCCUCCCAGCCAUCCCUCAUUCACGUAGGCGGCGACGGCAGGAGCUGUGAUGCAACCACUACUGAAAAAACUUCUUGUAAGAGGUAUUACCACCUGAAGAGAAACUCACCAUGCAUCAAUCCUGCCAACAGUGUCUGCUGCAGUUUUACCCUGCACUGGAAGACUGGAUACCACCUGCUUCAUUUCACCUCACCUUCCAUGAAAGGAGACACUUCUAUCUUGCACCUCAAGCCACUCUUUCUCAUCAUUGUACACUGCCACACUUGUCAUGUUAUCCCACGUCCUGUGCUCUGCUGUAUAAUACAUUAAUUUAUGAAUAUUGGUUACUUUAUAGAUAAAUUAUAAGAUUAUUCUUGUUUUUCAUAGACUUUAUUUUUUAAAGGAAUACUCAAGCAAGCUUGGGUAACAACUCUGAAACUGCAACAAUAUUAACCUUUUUAGGCACUUUGAAAAAUAAAAUAACAGUAAUUUUAGAAAACCAGGGUGAUA
Portunus trituberculatus (swimming crab) is the source of this 491-nucleotide long non-coding RNA. RefSeq lists it as uncharacterized. The record is from RefSeq and is a predicted model, not a curated record. The transcript is spliced from 2 exons. NCBI's taxonomy places the organism in Eukaryota, Metazoa, Arthropoda, Malacostraca, Decapoda, Portunidae.